RNAcentral lists this ribosomal RNA (119 nucleotides) under Petromyzon marinus (sea lamprey). Lineage: Eukaryota; Metazoa; Chordata; Hyperoartia; Petromyzontiformes; Petromyzontidae. The record is from RNAcentral.
GUCUAUGACCAAACCGCCCUGCAUGUGCCCGGUCUUGUCUUACCUAAACAGCCAAGCAAGAUUGAGCCUGCUUAAGAGAAAGAUGAGAGACUGCCUGAGAAUACCAGGUGUUGUGGAAU